GACGAACGCUGGCGGCGUGCUUAACACAUGCAAGUCGAACGGAAAGGCCCUGCUUGCAGGGUACUCGAGUGGCGAACGGGUGAGUAACACGUGGGUGAUCUGCCCUGCACUUCGGGAUAAGCCUGGGAAACUGGGUCUAAUACCGGAUAGGAGCCAUUUUUAGUGUGAUGGUUGGAAAGUUUUUUCGGUGUAGGAUGAGCUCGCGGCCUAUCAGCUUGUUGGUGGGGUAAUGGCCUACCAAGGCGGCGACGGGUAGCCGGACUGAGAGGGUGGACGGCCACAUUGGGACUGAGAUACGGCCCAGACUCCUACGGGAGGCAGCAGUGGGGAAGAUUGCACAAUGGGCGCAAGCCUGAUGCAGAGACGCCGCGUGGGGGAUGACGGCCUUCGGGUUGUAAACUCCUUUCGCUAGGGACGAAGCUUUUUGUGACGGUACCUAGAUAAGAAGCACCGGCUAACUACGUG
RNAcentral lists this ribosomal RNA (465 nucleotides) under uncultured bacterium. Its description in RNAcentral is "partial 16S ribosomal RNA". It matches the Rfam family "Bacterial small subunit ribosomal RNA", at positions 28 to 507 of the family's 1533-position model. The record is from RNAcentral.